GCCACAUCUAGGCCGCGGAGCGCAGUCGAUAGUUUUGGCCCCAUGCGACGAUUCGGUUUU
RNAcentral lists this unclassified non-coding RNA (60 nucleotides) under synthetic construct. The record is from RNAcentral.